This 310-nucleotide long non-coding RNA is filed under the name Capra hircus (goat). RNAcentral's name for it is "lncRNA (ENSCHIG00000007365.1)". The record is from RNAcentral. Lineage: Eukaryota; Metazoa; Chordata; Mammalia; Artiodactyla; Bovidae.
AAAUGAAUCUCUGGUCUUUUCAGAGCUACAGGGACGUGAUUUGCAUCAGAUUGGUUUGGAAAAUAAACUAUCUUUGGGGCAGAAGGUGAGAAGAUCGACCAGAGAAAAGAUAAAGUGAGGCAUCUCAUCAGCAGAGGAAGAUGGAUUUACCCUCAGAAAGCAAGCCUGCUGGAAUUCUGAAGUCCCUGUGUAUCCAUUUCCUACUGGCUGUCUAGAUGCCUCAGAGAAAUCCAACCUUGCAGGGAGAUGACAGUUUGAAAGAAAGUAAAAUCAUUCAUGAUGUCAAAGAUGCCCAGAGGGUGGCAGGGGC